CUUGGUGACUCUAGCGCGGGGGUCCCACCUCUUCCCAUUCCGAACAGAGCCGUUAAGCCCCGUAGCGCCGAUGGUACUGCCUCAAGGUGGGAGAGUAGGUCGUCGCCAAGU
RNAcentral lists this ribosomal RNA (111 nucleotides) under Bacteroidota bacterium. Lineage: Bacteria; Pseudomonadati; Bacteroidota. The record is from RNAcentral.